AUUGAACGAUGGCGGCAGGCUUAACACAUGCAAGUCGAGCGGAGCGAGGGUGCUUGCACCUUAGCUUAGCGGCGGACGGGUGAGUAAUGCUUAGGAAUCUGCCUAUUAGUGGGGGACAACAUUCCGAAAGGGAUGCUAAUACCGCAUACGCCCUAAGGGUGCACGCAGGGCCUCUUCGUACCUUUCGCUAAUAGAUGAGGCUAGGCCGGAUUAGUUAGUUGGUGGGGUAAAGGCCUACCAAGGCGACGAUCUGUAGCGGGGCUGAGAGGAUGCUCCGCCACACUGGGACUGAGACACGGCCGAGACUCCUACGGGAGGCAGCAGUGGGGAAUAUUGGACAAUGGGCGGAAGCCUGAUCCAGCCAUGCCGCGUGUGUGAAGAAGGCCUUUUGGUUGUAAAGCACUUUAAGCGAGGAGGAGGCUACUAGUAUUAAUACUACUGGAUAGUGGACGUUACUCGCAGAAUAAGCACCGGCUAACUCUGUGCCAGCAGCCGCAGUAA
This 501-nucleotide ribosomal RNA is filed under the name uncultured bacterium. RNAcentral's name for it is "partial 16S ribosomal RNA". It matches the Rfam family "Bacterial small subunit ribosomal RNA", at positions 30 to 523 of the family's 1533-position model. The record is from RNAcentral.